AAGGACUGUGCUCCCAAUCCGCUUACGCUCAAGGAAGAACUGCCUGGAAGCCCUCCCUGGUACCAUACCCCAGCCGAUGAGUAUGUACCCCCAGAAGUACUUCCGCUCAGAGAAGAAGGAGACGGCAAGCAGGGUGUACAGGAAGGCCCAGAACCAGCCUGCUGUCAGGAUCAGAACAAAAGAGGAGGACUGCAUAUGUAUGGACCCACUCCAGAUGGCACGGGGACGGGGGGAGUAGGAAAAGUGGCAUGGUGAGCAGAGCCCUGGCUAUGCAGGUGGCAGAUGGCAGAGUUGGAAGGAAUCUUGGAAUUCCUUGCACAGAUGGGGAAACUGAGGCUGUAAGUUCCCCAAGGCCACAUAGGAAGUUAGCAACAGGUGGGACAGG
Homo sapiens (human) is the source of this 385-nucleotide long non-coding RNA. Ensembl annotates it as VIPR1 antisense RNA 1. Its record names the gene VIPR1-AS1. NCBI's taxonomy places the organism in Eukaryota, Metazoa, Chordata, Mammalia, Primates, Hominidae. The record is from Ensembl.